AUUGAACGCUGGCGGCAGGCCUAACACAUGCAAGUCGAACGAGUGGCGGACGGGCGAGUAAUGUCUGGGAAACUGCCUGAUGGAGGGGGAUAACUACUGGAAACGGUAGCUAAUACUGCAUACCAUCAGAUGUGCCCAGAUGGGUUGAGCUUGUUGGUGGGGUAACGGGUCACCAAGGCGACGAUCCCUAGCUGGUCUGAGAGGGUGACCAGCCAGACGGGAACUGAGGGACGGUCCAGACUCCUAAGGGAGGAAGCAGUGGGGAAUAUUGCACAAUGGGCGCAAGCCUGAUGCAGCCAUGCCGCGUGUAUGAAGAAGGCCUGAGGGUUGUAAAGUACUUUCAGCGGGGAGGCGUUACCCGCAGAAGAAGCACCGGCUAACUCCGUGCCAGCAGCCGCGGUAAUAC
RNAcentral lists this ribosomal RNA (406 nucleotides) under uncultured bacterium. Its description in RNAcentral is "partial 16S ribosomal RNA". It matches the Rfam family "Bacterial small subunit ribosomal RNA", at positions 29 to 526 of the family's 1533-position model. The record is from RNAcentral.